Vollenhovia emeryi is the source of this 433-nucleotide long non-coding RNA. RefSeq lists it as uncharacterized. The transcript has 3 exons. The record is from RefSeq and is a predicted model, not a curated record. NCBI's taxonomy places the organism in Eukaryota, Metazoa, Arthropoda, Insecta, Hymenoptera, Formicidae.
UUCUGCUGCCGACUGACAGUCAACUAAUAGUCGACUUGGUGCUGUUUCGGACUCUAAUUUAUUGCACCAGUUCGCCAGUGUAGGAAACAGGAAACAAACCUCACACACAGAAAAAUAUAUACUACCUGCAACUCUCCUACCGUGCAACGAUGUCCUGCCUGGAGCGAUCGAGGAAUAUUUUGUAGAAAAAUGGUUUCUCCUAUCAACCUCUUCCGAUCUUUCAACCCGAAUUCGGAAACACUCGCAACUUUAAUACUUAAGGACGGAACUACCCGGAUAGCACGAGACACUCCUGUGAACAUUUUAAGAAUAUUCUUCAAGAAUACUUCGCAAUAUUCCAUAGACCAUUCUUAUAUAUUUAUCUCUAAUUUAUCGUAAUUAAUUGUCGCCGUAUAUGUUUGUAGAUCUUUUGCUGUAACAAUUGAUAGGUGUA